UGNUCUGUCACUGACGCUGAGGCUCGAAAGCGUGGGUAGCGAACAGGAUUAGAUACCCUGGUAGUNCACGCCGUAAACGCUGAGUGCUAGGUGUUAGGUCCUUUCCGGGACUUAGUGCCGACGCUAACGCAUUAAGCACUCCGCCUGGGGAGUACGACCGCAAGGUUGAAACUCAAAGGAAUUGACGGGGGCCCGCACAAGCGGUGGAGCAUGUGGUUUAAUUCGAAGCAACGCGAAGAACCUUACCAGGUCUUGACAUCCCGAUGCCCGCUCUAGAGAUAGAGUUUUUCUUCGGAACAUCGGAGACAGGUGGUGCAUGGUUGUCGUCAGCUCGUGUCGUGAGAUGUUGGGUUAAGUCCCGCAACGAGCGCAACCCUUAUUGUUAGUUGCCAUCAUUAAGUUGGGCACUCUAGCGAGACUGCCGGUAAUAAACCGGAGGAAGGUGGGGAUGACGUCAAAUCAUCAUGCCCCUUAUGACCUGGGCUACACACGUGCUACAAUGGUUGGUACAACGAGUCGCAAGCCGGUGACGGCAAGCUAAUCUCUGAAAGCCAAUCUCAGUUCGGAUUGUAGGCUGCAACUCGCCUACAUGAAGUCGGAAUCGCUAGUAAUCGCGGAUCAGCACGCCGCGGUGAAUACGUUCCCGGGCCUUGUACACACCGCCCGUCACACCACGAGAGUUUGUAACACCCAAAGUCGGUGAGGUAACCAUUUANGGG
RNAcentral lists this ribosomal RNA (719 nucleotides) under uncultured bacterium. Its description in RNAcentral is "bacterial SSU rRNA". It matches the Rfam family "Bacterial small subunit ribosomal RNA", at positions 730 to 1447 of the family's 1533-position model. The record is from RNAcentral.